ACGUAGUUUGACUCCGUGGCUCAGAGACGACGCUAGCGGCAGGCUUAACACAUGCAAGUCGCACGGAGUACUUCGGUACUCAGUGGCGAACGGGUGAGUAACACGUAGGUCACGUACCUUGAGGUGGGGAACUAACCCAGGGAAACCUGGGCUAAUACCGCAUACGUCCUUCGGGAUGAAAGUCUUCGGACGCCUUGAGAUCGGCCUGCGGCCCAUUAUUUAAUCCUUGUUGGUGGGGUAACGGCCUACCAAGGGUACGAUGGGUAGCUGGUCUGAGGGGACGAUCAGCCACACUGGGACUGAGACACGGCCCAGACUCCUACGGGAGGCAGCAGUGGGGAAUAUUGCGCAAUGGGGGAAACCCUGACGCAGCCAUGCCGCGUGAGUGAUGAAGGCCCUCGGGUCGUAAAACUCUGUCGGGAGGGACGAAGGCUUCGGCUUGACGGUACCUCCCAAGAAAGCACCGGCUAACUCCGUG
Molecule: ribosomal RNA, 478 nt
Filed under: uncultured bacterium
Lineage: Bacteria
Description: bacterial SSU rRNA
Rfam family: Bacterial small subunit ribosomal RNA
Source: RNAcentral